GGGGGUGCGCGGAUUUGUAGGUAUAAUAGAUUUUGUACAUAUUUGUAGGGAAUCUAUUUUUAUUUAGUGCGUGGAUGUUAUCUUUUAAUAAUUUACUUUUUUCGUAAAAUAUAUUCAUUAAUUAUUUUAUCCUGUAGUAAUUACAGAGUUACAAAUUCUUGUAUAAUAAUUUAUCCUAUCUGUGCUAUAAUAUAUAUCUAAUUCUAGAUUUUCAAUGUUAUUUAUUAUUUUGUGUUGUUCUUCUCGUAGUGAGUUUUUUAAAUUAUAUAAACUAUCACAUGUACUUUUAUCUAAAUUUUCUAAGGUUUUUUCUAUCCAUAUUAAUUUUUCUUUUAG
This 336-nucleotide long non-coding RNA is filed under the name Capsicum annuum. RNAcentral describes it as "long non-coding RNA (CANN_LNC006771)". Lineage: Eukaryota; Viridiplantae; Streptophyta; Magnoliopsida; Solanales; Solanaceae. The record is from RNAcentral.